AUUUUGCAGGAAUGUUGUUUGGGCUGGCAGACCAUCACAACACCAAAGUGUACCUGGGAAAAGAAGAAGCCACUCUAAUGGGCUCAAAUAAAACUCUGGGAGAAAAAGCACAGCUCUACUCAUCGCUCAUCUCCGUGGCUUUGUGCCCUCCCUCCCCUCCAAACAUCCAAUCACUAUACACAAUGAAUGACCUGAUUCUUAGACAUCAGCCUGUAGGAAUGCAUGAUGCAAAGUGUGGAUCAGACUGGAUCAAGCAGCAUUAACGUGGACCAUCUGAGAUCAUCACGACAAGAAGUCCAUAACUUGAAGAAAGAACAGACCUCUGCCUGGCUGGACUACCAACAAAAUAGCAGAGAAAUAGGCGCAGUGUUGUUUUGCAGCCCCAGAGGUGUGGCGGAUGCUAAGGGUAAUGAAUGAUAUAUGAAGCCGAUCCUGAUCCUACCGCU
Molecule: non-coding RNA, 446 nt
Organism: Doryrhamphus excisus (bluestripe pipefish)
Lineage: Eukaryota; Metazoa; Chordata; Actinopteri; Syngnathiformes; Syngnathidae
Source: RefSeq, a predicted model, not a curated record